UUGGAUCUUCAAUUGCUUCCGCUCGUGAAAAUCUUCCGCUCUUCGAAUUCCUUGAUCUCUGUAAUUCUCGAUGGUCUGACAAUUCUCCGUGCUCUGUUUUCUCCUCGCCAAAAAGGUGUCCUUCUUCUCUCGUAGAAACUCUGCUAAAACAAUGAAAAUCCCUUAGCAUUGGUUGAAAAUCCCAUAUCAUUUCCCUUUCUUUUUUUUUAGUUUUGUUACUCAGUUCUUUUUUUUCUUUGAUUUUUUAUACCCAAUUGAG
RNAcentral lists this long non-coding RNA (259 nucleotides) under Lathyrus oleraceus (garden pea). Its description in RNAcentral is "Pisum sativum (pea) long non-coding RNA (PSAT_LNC034828)". Lineage: Eukaryota; Viridiplantae; Streptophyta; Magnoliopsida; Fabales; Fabaceae. The record is from RNAcentral.